Molecule: non-coding RNA, 1226 nt
Organism: Poecilia reticulata (guppy)
Lineage: Eukaryota; Metazoa; Chordata; Actinopteri; Cyprinodontiformes; Poeciliidae
Source: RefSeq, a predicted model, not a curated record
AAAUUGAGCCUCUGUCUCUUUAAAUAUUCUUGCUUUUUCUGAAACUCCGCCUUCAGGAAGUCAUCACAUAUCUUCUCUAUUAACCUUUAAGUAACGAUUGUACUAAGAAGCAGCUUGUAUGAUGAGCUCAGAAGAUGUGUGGCUCCACCAGGUGUUUGCUAAUUGCUGCUUUUAACAGAGCUGAUCAGGGGAGUGCUGCUUUGUGAGGCAGAAGCUCUGUAUCAGUGUUGCCAAACUGGGUGGGUUUCCACUCAAUUGUGCCUUUUUCAACACAUUUAACUGGAAAGAAACAAAAUUGGGCAGGUUGUUAAAAUUUGGACUGCUUUUUGCAAGAUUUGGCAGAGUUUUAGAAAGUGUUCUUAGGAAAAUUCUGAAUUCUUUCAAAUGUCCUUGCACAGCAGAAACUUGAAUAAAAUGCAGUCUUAUUGCACUUAUCUUAUUAACUUAUUUUGAAAUCUCUAGAAUCUGUCGAAGAUUUCUCAAACAUGCAUGAAACUGAUGUGGCAACAUUGCAAGUAUGUUUUUGAUGAGAGAAUAAUAUGAUAACAUGAUGUAAAGCUCAAAAAACUUCAUUUUACAUGAUAUUCUCUUUGGCAACGAGAAUCAUGAGAUACUGAAAUAUCCCAAUGCAAAAGGGCAGACUUUUUAUGUCACCCUCUACAUCAGGUUCUGUUUGUGUAUUUGAUGUGUCACUAAUCCUUUUGAAUCCAUUUGAAUCUGAGAGAAAUGUGUCCGUUUUUAAUUGUCUUUUUUGUCCUUGUUUCAAAUUGUAGAGCUCAGAUGACAAACUUUUUGCCAGAUUUAUCAGCACCUCGUUGUUUGUUCGCUGGGACGGACAAUAAACACGUGACUACACAAAUCAUAUGUGGCCAUUGUUCUACGAACACGUCAGAGCCAAAUCUACAUCAGAUUUUGAGAAAUGAGGCCCUAAGUGUUUAUGAGUGUUUUUUUUUUUCCCCCAGAAACUAAAGGUUCUAUACACCUGGGCCAUGGAGAAUUGCAACAAUACCAGGACACAGAAAAGACAGCUUUUACUUUCCUAUCAGGAACAAAAUGAGGACAAGGGAGCAGAAGGAGAGCAACAUGGCUGACAUGAUGGAGAACCGUCAGAACACCUGGAUCUCCUUCAGGAGGAAGCAGCUACCAGCAGAGAUGGCAGAGCAACAAGGAGAGUUGAGACAAACAAAAGAAAAAUAAAAAAAUUAAAGUUGUUGUGUCUCAGUGAA